This 72-nucleotide ribosomal RNA is filed under the name Tersicoccus sp. Bi-70. RNAcentral's name for it is "partial 23S ribosomal RNA". Lineage: Bacteria; Bacillati; Actinomycetota; Actinomycetes; Micrococcales; Micrococcaceae. The record is from RNAcentral.
UCUGUGUGUAAGUUUCUAAGGGCACACGGUGGAUGCCUUGGCAUCAGGAGCUGAUGAAGGACGUGGGAAUCU